This is a long non-coding RNA of Orussus abietinus, 831 nucleotides long. RefSeq lists it as uncharacterized. Lineage: Eukaryota; Metazoa; Arthropoda; Insecta; Hymenoptera; Orussidae. The transcript has 3 exons. The record is from RefSeq and is a predicted model, not a curated record.
UCGCGGUCCAUAAAGCGAGAUACAUUUUCGGAAGCGUUGGGGACGAGCGCGCUCGCGGGAAGAAUCGACUCGAUGUCCGAUACAGAAGGAGAAGAUCGGUGGUCAAGUUCGGAUUUCUACGGACCACUGAUAGAAAGGGUCGAAAUUCGUCGUUCAGUAUCCAGGUAGCAGCGGCGCGAGGAGCUCGACAUCGGUGCGAGCUCGAAGUUGAAACGGACGAAAAGACUCGGAAUUGAUAAAUUCGGGCAAGGGGAGAAGCAUGGGAGGUGGUGGCACGAGGCCUGAGGCGUGACUCCCUCCCAAGCUGGCGGAGAACGAAAAGGCUUUGAAAUUCCUCGAGAGGAAUGCGGCCAAUAUGGCGGCGAGGAGGUGGCACGCGGUUUCCAAGAUGGCCGCGUGAUUUCCAAGAUGGCCAGCGUAGAAAGCGACGGUUGACGACGCGCGCCGACGAUCCUUGGAGUGACGGAAGGAAGGCCCGAAAUUGAUAACUGCUUAACGGAGGAGCACGGCCGUGAGGAGGUACGCUCAGGCGAGAAGGUUAAUAACUGGGCAAGACUUGUCGUCAAGCCACCAAGAGAUCCUCGAAACCUCAGUGGAUAAAGCUCGGAUGUCAUCACCCAGGGUAACGUCAAAUAGCCAAUCAUCGAGAAGCCAACGUGACUGCCGAUACAGAUCAAUGGAAUCCAGGAUGGAAGAGUUACCUUAUCGACAGUGCAACUCCAACUGCGGAGACGAACAUUCCCAGACCACUGAUACAGGCCAUGGUCUUCCUCCCGAAAUUUCUGGCUAAGGCAGCGCCGAUUAUUGAUGUAAAUAAUCUUACAACACCAA